This 1958-nucleotide long non-coding RNA is filed under the name Daphnia magna. RNAcentral describes it as "uncharacterized LOC123469367, transcript variant X2". The record is from RNAcentral. Lineage: Eukaryota; Metazoa; Arthropoda; Branchiopoda; Diplostraca; Daphniidae.
UCAGCUUCAGCCCAGUCACUGCACCAUCCGCACUGAAAAAAAGAAGAUCAGACCCGAUUAAUGUAGGAUAUUCUGCAGUGGUUGCAAUGUCGACCGGUACACCGAUGCUGGAAUGGCACGCGGCCUUUAUAUUCUACGUCACGUAGUAUUGUAUGAGUUCUUUUUUCCACGAUCCUGAUCAGGCGAAAGAAACGCGACACCAGACGCCGGAACGCACACCGAACAAUCAAACCAGCCCACAAGAUCGGGUCAUAAAGCAGCCCGAUCAACCCGAGACAGAGUCCUACUAACCUAGGUUUAGGCCAACUCCAUCUCGUUCAGGGACCUGAACGCUGUCAGGCAAAACAUGACGACAACUCCUGAUAGGGUUCAGGUCCCUGGCCUCAAUUUGCAGCAAGAGAUAGGCAGCUCAAUUCGCUAUACUACAUAAAAAGCGGAAUUUGUUCUUUGGAAGUGAUUGCCAUGGUGAUUGCACUGCUCAUCUCAAAUAAAUUGUUUUAAGAUCAAACGACGACAAUUUAAUUAUUAUUAUUAUAUUAUAAAUUAGGGCUGCAAACAAUGGCGAAUCGACCAGCCAAAAUGUAAACAAUCUACGUUUAUUUACGAGACGCAAACGUAACUGCUCCAAAGAACAAAUUCCGCAUUAUAUAUUAAUAAUGUGGAACUGUCUAGCAGAAGUGGAAAGUUAAAGACUUUCAGAAAUUCUUGGACCAUUUUCAUUUUUUUUUUAUUAUACAAACAAUUUUAAAUUAAAAUCCAAAAAAUGAACUUUGCAUAAAAAUUAAUUCUACGCACGAUAAAAAUUUUUCUAAAUAAAAAAAAAAUUCAAACACCUUAAUGUAACAGUUCAAAAGGGGUAGUCCCAUAAGAGCCUACGUUAAAGUAGGCCCUCUAGUUACACACCCGGCCAGAGUUGCCAAAAUAGACGAUUCCAAUUUUUGUCCCACUUUCGCCCUCUCGAGUACGCGUACCAUAUAACUCCUAUACCAUGGUAUUUUGGUUUGGUUUCAAAUACAAGAAAAUUCAGGCUCAUCUCAUAUGUCUGCUUAACAAGUUUGCCCUUACUGGGGAGGAAGAACUCUUCAAAAUUGAAACAAAUCCUGUGACUGAUUUGCACUACACAGAAUGAUUUCCAGUGAAAAAGCUUCGUCACGUGUUAUGACGUGUGUCGUGGUGUAGUAACAAUUUUGCUGAAUCUUGUUCUAACUUAUAACUAGAUCUUUUCGGGCAGUAAACCUAAUGAUUAAACUUUGUUUUACUGUUUCUCGGUAAGUAUAUUCCAAACGUUACACAAUGUAGUACUUGCAACCAUUGCCGUGCAGUUCCACAGAAAUGUCUGUGUUCAAUCAGGAAAAUGCGGCGCCAACAAAUACACCUGAAACAACACUAACACCAACAGCACGAACUUUUUGAACCUACGUCGUCUGUAAGUAACAAUUCAUUGCAGACUAAAUUAACUUCAGGAGAAACGGAAAGAGAAAAAAUUAAAAUUAUACGGCCCCCGUAUGAUUUUAAUUUUUUCUCUACCCGCAUAAUACGGGUCAAGAGACAUUAUGUGCAAUGCUGAUAAAUUUACGUAGAAUGUAUUUCUGUAUGCCUAGAUAAAUGCAAGCUCUUUCAAGCAGAACAACUAUAGGGCAUACAGCAUAUGUCUCUAGCCCAGUUACCAUUCUCAAAAAUACACAAUGCUAAAAAUUCCUGAUGAAGUCAUUCGUACAAGCAUGGGGGGAAUAUUUGAAGAACAAAUUAGCUGAUAGCUCUCAUGGGGGAAAAAGAAUGUUGCAUUGAUUUUCUGAUAUUAUUCAGGCUUAUUAAAAAUUCUGUGAAAACAAAACGACAAGUCAUUCACAUUCCGUUGUACGCAGGCCCACCGCCACCCUCAGGGGCGACCCAAUUGAUGUUCUGACUGGGGUCCUUGAUAUCACAUGUCUUACAGUGAAUACAAUUUUGAGCACUUA